UACGUAGGCAGCGAGCGUUGUUCGGAGUUACUGGGCGUAAAGAGUGUGUAGGCGGUGUUCCAAGUCUGGUGUGAAAUCUCCCGGCUUAACUGGGAGGGUGCAUUAGAAACUGGAAUGCUAGAGGAUGGGAGAGGUAAGCGGAAUUCCUGGUGUAGCGGUGAAAUGCGUAGAUAUCAGGAGGAACACCUGUGGUGUAGACAGCUUACUGGACCAUUUCUGACGCUGAGACACGAAAGCGUGGGUAGCAAACAGG
RNAcentral lists this ribosomal RNA (253 nucleotides) under uncultured bacterium. RNAcentral's name for it is "partial 16S ribosomal RNA". It matches the Rfam family "Bacterial small subunit ribosomal RNA", at positions 524 to 776 of the family's 1533-position model. The record is from RNAcentral.